UACGUAGGGAGCAAGCGUUGUCCGGAUUUACUGGGUGUAAAGGGUGCGUAGGCGGUUCGGCAAGUCAGAAGUGAAAUCCAUGGGCUUAACCCAUGAACUGCUUUUGAAACUGUCGAACUUGAGUGAAGUAGAGGUAGGCGGAAUUCCCGGUGUAGCGGUGAAAUGCGUAGAGAUCGGGAGGAACACCAGUGGCGAAGGCGGCCUACUGGGCUUUAACUGACGCUGAGGCACGAAAGCAUGGGUAGCAAACAGG
This 253-nucleotide ribosomal RNA is filed under the name Neglectibacter timonensis. Its description in RNAcentral is "partial 16S ribosomal RNA". It matches the Rfam family "Bacterial small subunit ribosomal RNA", at positions 524 to 776 of the family's 1533-position model. The record is from RNAcentral. Lineage: Bacteria; Bacillati; Bacillota; Clostridia; Eubacteriales; Oscillospiraceae.